This 468-nucleotide ribosomal RNA is filed under the name uncultured bacterium. RNAcentral describes it as "partial 16S ribosomal RNA". It matches the Rfam family "Bacterial small subunit ribosomal RNA", at positions 28 to 507 of the family's 1533-position model. The record is from RNAcentral.
GACGAACGCUGUCGGCGUGCUUAACACAUGCAAUUCGAACGGAAAGGCCCUGCUUUUGUGGGUUCCUCGAGUGCCGAACGGGUGAUUAACCCUUGAUUAACUUGCCCUUGACUUUGGGUUAACUUCAGGAAACUGGGGCUAAUACCGGUUAGGAGCUCCUUCUGCUUGGUGUGUGUUGGAAUGUUUCGGCGGUUGGGGAUGUACUCGCGGCUUAUCAGCUUGUUGGUGGGGUAGUGGCUUACCAAGGCGUUGACGGGUAGCCGGCCUGAGAGGGUGAACGGCCACAUUGGGACUGAGAUACGGCCCAGACUCCUACGGGAGGCAGCAGUGGGGAAUAUUGCACAAUGGGCGGAAGCCUGAUGCAGCAACGCCGCGUGCGGGAUGACGGCCUUCGGGUUGUAAACCGCUUUCGCCAGUGACGAAGCGUGAGUGACGGUAAUGGGUAAAGAAGCACCGGCUAACUACGUG